Molecule: long non-coding RNA, 1589 nt
Organism: Nematostella vectensis (starlet sea anemone)
Lineage: Eukaryota; Metazoa; Cnidaria; Anthozoa; Actiniaria; Edwardsiidae
Exons: 2
Source: RefSeq, a predicted model, not a curated record
UAAAUAUUAGUUUAAUUUUCGCAUUCUUUUUCGAAAUUCAGAUUUAGCGCAAAUGCACAGCAGGCUUUUCUGAGGUGAGUUGCAGCGAAGCGUUGAAAAGGGGCGAAACACAUCUGUAGUAGUGGGUGCCCAUGGGCGUAGCUAGGGGGUCGGCCAAGGGCCGAGGGGGCCCAAAUAGUCGGGUUCCUGAACCAGAAGAAUGAAUACAAUACACCAAAAACUGGAGUUCGACUCUGCCAAACAUCAACAUUAGACAUUAACUAAAAUACAGGAGAAAAUGCCUUGAAAGGGCCCCCUCUUGUUUAAAAUCUUGGCUACGCCGCUGGUGCCCGUAAAAGUCUAUGUGAAAUAGAGACAAGUCUUUGCGUCAUAGUUUCAGGUAUCGCGGCUAAAUUUAAUUAACAGAGAUCACCUGCGCGAUUUAGCGACGGCAUACUGCGGGGAUAUUAAUAACUUUAUUGACCAAUAAAAUCAUAAGGAGUCGAGUAAGAAAGCCUCAGUUCAAGAAAACAACUUUGUAGCAUUGACAACUUCGAGGGUGGUAAAUAUUCUUGGCACAUUUUGCAAAAAUGCAAGCACCCAAAUAAAAAUUUCAGUAUUUGGCGACCUCAUAAUUUCUGGGGCCCCUCAUAAGGGAAUAACUGUUCGCACUGGCCUCCAAAGAGGGUAUUAAAGCAACAAAAAUAUUUUGCGCGCUACCGGAUAUUCGAUGGAUGCCUAUUUUUAUCAUCAUACUUUACGACUAUAGUGAUUCUUCGUCUGCUCACACAAGAUAAUGUAGACUAAGCUCCAAGUGUCUCUCUCUCCGAGUCCCAUACGGUCACUGAGAGAGUGAGGGAGACUGUGCGAAAGUCUUGACAUACUGUAAUCCGUAUGUUUAAUCUAUUUAGGCUUAUCCGUAGCAAGUAGGUCCAAAUUCCUCAAGUCUAUCGCUUAGCGAUGGCCUUUCACAAUUUUGCUUGGAUUAUGAUCGCUUAUUAUAUCAACAGUUGAUGAGGUUGUAAAUCUCGCUCACUCUCAUGAUCCCGAUUGAUGUGAUUUCACUCGCGAUUACCUGAUGGUAAAACUAACAUAACAAUCGCGUUUGCACGCUAUGCGUCCCGAUGAAUCAUGGCUUUCGCCCUUAGGCGGACCCUGAGCAAUCUACGGAGGAAAUUGCUUAACUAUGUGAUUAUUAGAUUACAGUAACCGCUAUUCAAAGAAGCUCUUUGGAUAACAUUUUGAAAUGAGGUAAAAGGGGAACGUUGAAAUCAAAGACAAGUUAAACAAAUGUGGGAUUUAUGAGGGGAAAUCAAGAGGAAGGAUCCUGAAAAAGUGAAGGAAAGAUGGCAGUGAACAGAAGAUUUGUUUAAGUGUGAGAUGUGUACAAGAUGAGGUCAUCAUGAGUGAGGAUGCAGUGAUAUUUGAUUGUUUUCCAUUUCAGUGACCAUUAGUAGUACACACCCCCUACACACCAAAUCAGACGCUUCACAUGAAUAUGUACGAGAUUUACCUGAUGAGUUGCAGUCAAGGUGUCAUAUCUGGCGAUGAUCUCUCUUAUUUCUUGAAACUGAAGAUUAAAGAUCACAAUAAAACAAGUUAUUAAUGUA